This 587-nucleotide ribosomal RNA is filed under the name uncultured bacterium. Its description in RNAcentral is "bacterial SSU rRNA". It matches the Rfam family "Bacterial small subunit ribosomal RNA", at positions 56 to 677 of the family's 1533-position model. The record is from RNAcentral.
UGCAGUCGAACGAGAAAGUGGAGCAAUCCAUGAGUAAAGUGGCGACCGGGUGAGUAACACGUGACUACCUACCCUUGAGUGGGGGAUAACCUCGGGAAACCGAGGCUAAUACCGCAUAAUAUCGAGAGAUCAAAGGAGCAAUUCGCUCUUGGAGGGGGUCGCGGCUGAUUAGCUAGUUGGUAGGGUAAUGGCCUACCAAGGCGAAGAUCGGUAUCCGGCCUGAGAGGGCGCACGGACACACUGGAACUGAAACACGGUCCAGACUCCUACGGGAGGCAGCAGUGGGGAAUUUUGCGCAAUGGGGGAAACCCUGACGCAGCAACGCCGCGUGGAGGAUGAAGCCCCUUGGGGCGUAAACUCCUUUCGACCGGGAAGAUACUGACGGUACCGGUGGAAGAAGCACCGGCUAACUCUGUGCCAGCAGCCGCGGUAAUACAGAGGGUGCGAGCGUUGUUCGGAAUUAUUGGGCGUAAAGGGCGCGUAGGCGGUGCGGUAAGUCACCUGUGAAACCUCUGGGCUUAACUCAGAGCCUGCAGGCGAAACUGCCGUGCUGGAGUAUGGGAGAGGUGCGUGGAAUUCCCGGUGUA